Molecule: ribosomal RNA, 387 nt
Filed under: uncultured bacterium
Lineage: Bacteria
Description: bacterial SSU rRNA
Rfam family: Bacterial small subunit ribosomal RNA
Source: RNAcentral
GACGAACGCUGGCGGCGUGCUUAACACAUGCAAGUCGAGCGGUAAGGCCCCUUCGGGGGUACACGAGCGGCGAACGGGUGGGUAACACGUGGGUGACCUGCCCUCAGCUCUGGGAUAAGCCUGGGAAACUGGGUCUAAUACCGGAUAUGACUCCAUGACGCAUGUCGUGGGGUGGAAAGCCUUGUGCGGCUGGGGAUGGGCCCGCGGCCUAUCAGCUUGUUGGUGGGGUGAUGGCCACCAAGGCGACGACGGGUAGCCGGCCUGAGAGGGCGACCGGCCACACUGGGACUGAGACACGGCCCAGACUCCUACGGGAGGCAGCAGUGGGGAAUCUUGCGCAAUGGGCGAAAGCCUGACGCAGCGACGCCGCGUGAGGGAUGACGGCCU